Molecule: ribosomal RNA, 140 nt
Filed under: Metazoa environmental sample
Lineage: Eukaryota; Metazoa
Description: partial small subunit ribosomal RNA
Rfam family: Eukaryotic small subunit ribosomal RNA
Source: RNAcentral
AGUUGGUGGAGCGAUUUGUCUGGUUAAUUCCGAUAACGAACGAGACUCCAACCUACUAAAUAGUGGGCGAAUCGUUCGUUCGUAACACUUCUUAGAGGGAUAGGUGGCUUUCAGUCACAUGAGAAGGAGCAAUAACAGGU